GAGCAUCAUAGUUUCUCGUUCAGGGAAGAACAAAUUCAAAUAGAAGCAAUGGGGAAUCCCUCGAUUAUUCGCAACCUCCGAGGGAUACUCUUUGUCGCUUGUUCCAGUUCGCAAGUACCUUGGUCGAGUGAGAAUCGUUCUUUGUAGUCAGUUGUAGUGUAUUCGUCUGGAGAUCAUUCAGAAGUUUCGGAUCUUGUGCGUAACUUUGUCUCUCCGUAAAAUGAAGACCAGUUCGGUGUUAGAAGCCGUCACGCGAAUCGUGAUCCUCGCUUUGGUUGGGCUGAGUUUGACUAGUGCUGCUCCUGUGCAAGAUGAAAGCGAUAUGAAGCUAGUGAGAGUUGCUCGCCAUCCAGCGACGACCUACAAAUAUCAAGACGCGAUAGCUGCCUAUACAUUUUCCCCGUUCGCUCCGAAGACUAGCCCUACGACGACCACUACCACAACGACAACCACUACCACAACGACAACGCCGAUUCCCAUCAAGACAACGAAGAAGCCGUGGUGGAAACUUUGGGGAUAAUCUACCUUGUGUCAAUUACAUUAUGGAAUAGGUCGCUGUUCUUGAAAAAAUACAGAAUUAUGAGAUUAUUUCAAGAAUGCUGCGGUUAUUUUCUUUACAAUAAUCAUAGACCGAAGUUAACGAAAUGAUUCUACUAGAAUCUUAAAACGCAAUAAACCUCAUUAUCACUUUCAGAUGCAGGGGUAUAUCCGAUCUACUUUGGGCCAGUUUCAAUGCAACAUCAUAUUUUCCCCGUUGCAGGCGCUAUAGUUGGCUAAAAUAGUAGAUCUGGGUGAUUUCUUGUGUGAUUGCAGCUGAUCUGGCAAGUAGCAACCACGGGCGGCCAAUUAAACUCAAGCUUAAAAGCCGAAUCUCUCUGUAUUAACAUGAGGAUAGAAAUAGCUUCCUCUUUUUCUGUCAGCAAUAAAAUACUCGAUAUUUAUAACCAAA
Molecule: long non-coding RNA, 949 nt
Organism: Aedes aegypti (yellow fever mosquito)
Lineage: Eukaryota; Metazoa; Arthropoda; Insecta; Diptera; Culicidae
Exons: 3
Source: RefSeq, a predicted model, not a curated record